Long non-coding RNA from Pygocentrus nattereri (red-bellied piranha), 2594 nucleotides. RefSeq lists it as uncharacterized. The transcript is spliced from 2 exons. Lineage: Eukaryota; Metazoa; Chordata; Actinopteri; Characiformes; Serrasalmidae. The record is from RefSeq and is a predicted model, not a curated record.
ACAACAACGAUGGACGACGCAGCCGCUUCUCUUGGUCCACUGAGGGAAACUUUCGGUUUAAAAAACGUCCUGAUGGGACUUUCGAAAAGACGACUGUUGUGUGCAAGUUGUGCAAAAAGGAGUUUGCACAUCACCGAAGCUACUCAAGCCUAAAAUACCAUCUCAAUGCAAAACAUUUUGCAGCUAGCAAAGCUGCCCCCACAGCUGAUUACAGCGCCCCCAGCAGGGGUAAAUAACCGCCCCCACCAGGGGUAAAUAACCGCCCCCCAGCAGGGGUAAAUAACCGCCCCCACCAGGGGUAAAUAACCGCCCCCCACCAGGGGUAAAUAACCGCCCCAGCCACCCACACUGGACCAGGUGACAGGUUUCAGGGCCAAAAUAAGCAAGUCUACGUCUGAAAAAUGAAGCAAAUCCUGCUAAAUGGAUCGCAACAGACUGUAGACCGCUAUCGGUGGUCGAGGACAGGGGGCUACCGUCUGUGUUAGAUGGCGACAUCGGACCCUGCUCACGAACUAGUAGGGAAAACCAUGGCGGGUAAGAUCAGGCAGCUUUAUGAUGAAGUAAAGCCGUCAAAACAAGACAUAUUGAAUGCAGGUGAUUGUGUUGCGCUGACAGGGGACCUUUGGACUUCCUCAGCAAGUCUAACUACCGUGGCGUGACCGCGCACACAGUACGCGGCGUUAACAAAGUAUGGCCAUCAGCAUCUUUCGCCCUCACUGUAGAGAAAGUCAACAGCAGACAUGCAGAAAACUGCGCAGACCAUUUUUUCAGUAGCUGAGUCCUGGAAAAUUGAGCAAAAGGUUACAACAGUUGGCACCGAUUGUGCCAGAAACAUGAUGGCAGCAGCAAGACAGCUCCCAUUUCAGCACAUGCUGUGUGUUGCGCAUAUUUUGCAGAGAUCCAUCACUGUGUGCCUGGAGAGUUGUGGACUUAAUGAUGUACUAGCAAAGUGCCACAAGAUUUCAGACACAGUCCAGCCAACACAAUGGAACUGUAUAAAUUGCCUAAAUUUCCUUCGGGAUCAAUAAAGUAUCUAUCCAUCCAUCCAUCCAACUAAAGAGCAAAGGGCACCUUGACCAGGAAAAUGAACCCUUAAUCCAGGAUGUUUCCACAAGGUGGAACUCCACACUGUUUAUGAUCCGUCGUCUUCUCAAAAACAAAGAGGCAGUAAAGGCAACUCUGGACAAACAGAGGCACACACUGAUCUUAUUAUCGGCAUGUCAUGAUUGUCCUGUCCAUGUAUUCGUGGUUUGGUUUUGUAACUCCGCCCCUGAUUGUUUUCACCUGUCGCUCGUUGCCCCUGUGUAUUUAAGCCCUGUGUUUGCCCUUUGUUUUCGCUGGUCGUUAUCUUCUCGUCGUGUUGGUGUUUGCCGUAUCCACCUGUUUUGUUAUGUCAGAAACUCGAUCUGUUCGUGUUGGCUAUUUGACCCUGGACUGUUGUGACCCUGAUUCUGGAUUUGCCCUCAAUAAAAGUCACUUACCUCCGCAUUUGCGUCCGCUACCUCGCUCCUCGUUACACAGCAGCAGAGUGGACAAAACUAGAGAAGUUGGCAGCCAUCCUUGAACCAUGCAGACAUGUGACUGAUCUUCUUGGUGGAGAGACGUACGUCUCAUGUUCUGCCUGUCCUACGAUUCCUGGACCACACUAUGAAGGUCUUGGAUGAGGAUUCUACCUACAUUUUGAAAUUCAGGAAUGCCUUCAUGAAGGACUUGUCAGAGCGGAAAGCUGCACUUAAUUAUGAUUGGCUCACAAUGGCUACAGUGCUUGACCCUCGCUUUAAGGACUUAAAGUGUCUUCCAAGAGAAAAGCGAGAAGCCGUGUGGAAAAAGCUUGAAGAACUCCUUCAAGAUGGAUCUAUAAAAGCUACCUGUGAGCCCACAGAUGAGCCACCAAAAAAGAAAGGCCUCUUGUGCUUUUCUUCUGACUCUGACUCUGACUCUGAUCAUGUAGGGUCUAAUGCCUUGAGCCUCUAUAAAGCAGAACAGACCAUCAGUGAGACAGACUGCCCACUACAAUGGUGGUCAGCACAUGCAGGGGCACAUCCACAGCUCUCCACUCUGGCUAGAAAGUACAUAUCAAGCCCUGCCACUUCUGUCCCAUGUGAGAGGGGGUUCUCACUUGCUGGGAACAUCAUCCAGAAGAAAAGAGCAGCCUUAAGCUCUGAAAAUGUGAACAGGCUCGUUUGUCUCAGUAACUGGCUCAAGGAGAAAAAGUAGCCUCAGUGUUACAUGUUUUGGUUGUACAAAAAUAUUGCAGGUUGAAUGUUGUGUUAAAUUCUAUGCUCUUAAAUGCAGUAUGUAGUUUUGCCCUAAUUCGGUUGUUACUUUAGAAAUGGCACUUUAAUUUUUGUUUACACCAGAUGUUAAACUCUCACGAGUUGCAAUAUUGUAUAGUUGUUUUAUUUAUUUUUAAUUUUUACAGUUCUGUACAAGAAAUGGUGCUAUGAUUAUUGUCUAAUGUGCUGUUUACAUUUAUUUAUUUUUCAAAUAAGUUAAACUAUCAGGGGUUCCUGAAAUACUUGAAAUCUGAAUAACUAUAAUAGCACCAACACUUCUGUUGGUUUAAUAACAAUAAAAAAAAAUUAAAAAAGCAA